GUGAAUCAUCGAAUCUUUGAACGCAAAUUGCACUCCCUGGUAUUCCGGGGAGUAUGCCUGUUUGAGGGUCGUUAAAACGAAAAUCGAAGCGUCUCUCUUUUGUUUAAGGGUGAUCGCGUCGGGAUUGAACCGUCUUUCAAAUGUUAAUGCGUUUCAAAGUGGCUUAAAAUGCAUCCAUCCGGUACGAUUAAAGCGGAUUUAAGAUCAAUUUGGAUUAAGAGCGCUCGAUGAACGUACCAUCUCAUGUAUUACAUUAGA
RNAcentral lists this unclassified non-coding RNA (258 nucleotides) under Glomeraceae sp. RNAcentral describes it as "partial contains 5.8S ribosomal RNA and internal transcribed spacer 2". The stretch from base 1 to 71 matches the Rfam family "5.8S ribosomal RNA", at positions 84 to 154 of the family's 154-position model. Lineage: Eukaryota; Fungi; Glomeromycota; Glomeromycetes; Glomerales; Glomeraceae. The record is from RNAcentral.